UUGUUACCUUGGCUUACGUUCAGUUCACAAAGACCAGAUUUACUGAAGGAAGUGUUGCAGAAAACAGAAAACUCCCCCAUUGACGAACAACAACCACGGGGAGGUGAAGGACGCCACCGUCGUGUGAUCCGGAAAAAUGGGCGCCGGCUGGCUGAUCAGGACCAAGGGUGUCUGCCAUCACCUUCUCAGCAGUAGCGGCAGCCGACCGGAAAGGAUUAUUUCGGGCUUGCGCCUUCACUCGGCAACAGUUGAUAAUUGAAUCAACUCGAGAAGAUUUUAUCAUUACUCAAUGGGUGGCGGUGAAAGUAUUAGAUAAGUUGAUCUAUUAAUUCUUUUGUCAACCUGUUUUCUCACUCUCACGUCAGUCGGUACACAGGGAGUAGCGGGGUGAUUGGAUAUCUUGAUCUGACUCAUGGUGACU
This is a long non-coding RNA of Haliotis rubra (blacklip abalone), 421 nucleotides long. RefSeq lists it as uncharacterized. The record is from RefSeq and is a predicted model, not a curated record. NCBI's taxonomy places the organism in Eukaryota, Metazoa, Mollusca, Gastropoda, Lepetellida, Haliotidae. The transcript is spliced from 3 exons.